This 76-nucleotide transfer RNA is filed under the name Vibrio phage vB_ValS_X1. RNAcentral describes it as "tRNA-Val". It matches the Rfam family "tRNA". From Rfam's summary of the family: Transfer RNA (tRNA) molecules are approximately 80 nucleotides in length. Their secondary structure includes four short double-helical elements and three loops (D, anti-codon, and T loops). Lineage: Duplodnaviria; Heunggongvirae; Uroviricota; Caudoviricetes; Demerecviridae. The record is from RNAcentral.
GCACGGUUGGCAGAGCGGCAGAUGCGGCAGAUUUACAUUCUGUUUGAGGUAGGUUCGAUUCCUACACCGUGUACCA